Caenorhabditis elegans is the source of this 1249-nucleotide RNA transcript. It is a transcript of the gene named Non-coding transcript of protein-coding gene lurp-4, with no coding region annotated. The transcript is spliced from 7 exons. The record is from RefSeq and is marked reviewed. NCBI's taxonomy places the organism in Eukaryota, Metazoa, Nematoda, Chromadorea, Rhabditida, Rhabditidae.
AUGGCGCUAACUAUUUCUAUUUUAAUUUUAGUGAUUUUGAACUUAAAAGAAAUAAAUUCUGUCAAGUGUUAUCAUGACAAUAAUGACGUGAUCAAUGGAACAUGUGAGGGUGAUUUCUGCACAAUCGCAAAAUCAACCGAUAACUAUGCAAUUUACAAUCAACGAGCGUGUUUCAUCGGGAUCAAAAAGCCUUCUCAUACAUGCACAUUGGAUUUUUCAGAUAAUAUGGUGUGUUUCUGCGACACUGAUUAUUGCAAUACCAUAAGCCUUCUUCGUGGAAACAUUACAAUACUUCCGGUAAUUCAAUGCAAGGCCCUUAUACAGACUGUAUAUACUGCAAUACCAAGCAACAAAUGCAUUCGAAUUAUUUCUUAUAUAAAGCAUGAUAGAUAUGAACUUGACAAAUUCAAUAAUGAUCAUGUAAAAGAUCUUCAAGAAUUUAUUUCUGGUGCUGAACGAGGCGAUUCAGGAGACUUGGUUAUCGAUGCUCAUAUCUAUUGGCCAGAAAAAAUGCUACGAAACUUUUUUUCCAAAGGAUGUUAUAAUACGACAAUGAGCCCAGAGCACUAUUAUGUUUAUUGUAGAUGUGAAGAGGCCAAUUGCAAUACCCCUGAAAGUGAAGCACUUCCUUAUCCAAUAUCUCCCCCGGUGGUCAAAUGUCACACAAGUGGAUUUGCCUAUGAAAUGAAUUACAGAAAAUUCGAGACGCUGGAGUUAACUGGAGAUCUAAAUUACAAACAAAAUUACAUGACAAAUGAAACUUAUGUCGAUGAGGGUAGUGAGUCAGAAGCAGUUUUGUAAUUUAAAGUUUAAAAAAUUUGACGGCGUAGAAUACCUUCUGACCUACCAUUUUUUGUUUUACAAAUUCCAAGAAAUGCAAUGCACAACUCAAUUUCAACUUUUUAAAGCCAAAAAAAUCUCUAUAUGUCCAGAACCAUUUUCAGUUGAAUGCCAGGGUCAUUUCUGUGUCAUUGUACCGAAUAAGUAUAUUAUAGAUGGUGAAUAUGUAGAUAUAUACUACAAAGGAUGUAUUUCUGCAAACGAACAAGGAGAACAAAAAUUAUCGGUGGGACAAAAGUAUGUCAAUGAGAUUACGUACUACAUAUGCAACACAGAUUUUUGUAACAUUGAUAUUGAAACUUCUUUGGAUGCAGCAGCAAAUGCAAGUACAAUAUCAGACAAUGGAGCGGAUGGUACAAAGUUUGACUGCUUUCAAAUCGUCAUUCUGUUCAUUAUUUUUUUAAUCUGA